Molecule: ribosomal RNA, 117 nt
Filed under: Aotus nancymaae (Ma's night monkey)
Lineage: Eukaryota; Metazoa; Chordata; Mammalia; Primates; Aotidae
Source: RNAcentral
UUAAAGUGUCCUUCCACCCUGAACGCGCCUGACCUCAUCUGAUCUCAGAAGCUAAGCAGGGUCGGGCCCGGUUAGUAUCUGGAUGGGAGACCGCCUGGAAAUCCCUGGUGCUGUAGG